Molecule: ribosomal RNA, 301 nt
Filed under: uncultured bacterium
Lineage: Bacteria
Description: partial 16S ribosomal RNA
Rfam family: Bacterial small subunit ribosomal RNA
Source: RNAcentral
CAGCCGCCACGGUAAUACGGAGGGUGCAAGCGUUAAUCGGAUUUACUGGGCGUAAAGCGUGCGUAGGCGGCUUCUUAAGUCGGAUGUGAAAUCCCUGAGCUUAACUUAGGAAUUGCAUUCGAUACUGGGAAGCUAGAGUAUGGGAGAGGAUGGUAGAAUUCCAGGUGUAGCGGUGAAAUGCGUAGAGAUCUGGAGGAAUACCGAUGGCGAAGGCAGCCAUCUGGCCUAAUACUGACGCUGAGGUACGAAAGCAUGGGGAGCAAACAGGAUUAGAUACCCCCGUAGUCCCUGUCUCUUAUAC